Molecule: ribosomal RNA, 736 nt
Filed under: uncultured bacterium
Lineage: Bacteria
Description: bacterial SSU rRNA
Rfam family: Bacterial small subunit ribosomal RNA
Source: RNAcentral
UAACACGUAAACUACCCGCCUUCAGGAUGGGGACAACAGACGGAAACGACUGCUAAUACCGAAUAAGUUCCAAGGGCCGCAUGGCCCAUGGAAGAAAAGGUGGCCUCUACCUGUAAGCUAUCGCCUGAAGAGGGGUUUGCGUCUGAUUAGCUGGUUGGAGGGGUAACGGCCCACCAAGGCGACGAUCAGUAGCCGGUCUGAGAGGAUGAACGGCCACACUGGAACUGAGACACGGUCCAGACUCCUACGGGAGGCAGCAGUGGGGAAUCUUCCGCAAUGGGCGAAAGCCUGACGGAGCAACGCCGCGUGAGUGAUGACGGCCUUCGGGUUGUAAAACUCUGUGAUCCGGGACGAAAAGGCAGAGUGCGAAGAACAAACUGCAUUGACGGUACCGGAAAAGCAAGCCACGGCUAACUACGUGCCAGCAGCCGCGGUAAUACGUAGGUGGCAAGCGUUGUCCGGAAUUAUUGGGCGUAAAGCGCGCGCAGGCGGCUUCCCAAGUCCCUCUUAAAAGUGCGGGGCUUAACCCCGUGAUGGGAAGGAAACUGGGAAGCUGGAGUAUCGGAGAGGAAAGUGGAAUUCCUAGUGUAGCGGUGAAAUGCGUAGAGAUUAGGAAGAACACCGGUGGCGAAGGCGACUUUCUGGACGAAAACUGACGCUGAGGCGCGAAAGCGUGGGGAGCAAACAGGAUUAGAUACCCUGGUAGUCCACGCCGUAAACGAUGGAUACUAGGUGU